This is a long non-coding RNA of Protobothrops mucrosquamatus (brown spotted pit viper), 465 nucleotides long. RefSeq lists it as uncharacterized. The record is from RefSeq and is a predicted model, not a curated record. NCBI's taxonomy places the organism in Eukaryota, Metazoa, Chordata, Lepidosauria, Squamata, Viperidae. The transcript has 3 exons.
CUCCCUUCCUUUUGACAAAGCCAUUUCUGCCGUACAAAGUGGAGUUUUCCAGGCUAAUUGCGGCUGCAUUUCUUCCAGAAAAUGGUGUGACUCGUAAUUGGUGCCUGCCGUUAUGUGGCUAGGAAAAUAGCAUCAUUCCUGCGCGCUGAGGAUGUGGGAGAGACCAUGUUGGCUUGCAAGAACCGGACAGCUGUAGCUGGUAUCCCCAAAAAGCCACCAAGGUUUCAAUCCAUUCCUUGCUCAGCCAGUGAAAAACAUCCUCAUGCGGCUACUUCCGAAGUCAGAACCCAGGAACCAAACUCCUGAUGAAAUAAAAUAAAAAAAGGACUGCAAAACGGAAAAUGACGGUUUGUUUAACAAAAUCCUGCGGCUGUAGGAAAUUAACAGACCUGAGAAUGCCUUAUUCUGUCCCUUCUCUCAUUGUUCCAUUAUGAAAAUAAACUUAAAUAAAGAAGUGUUUCGUGC